Molecule: microRNA precursor, 97 nt
Filed under: Trifolium pratense (red clover)
Lineage: Eukaryota; Viridiplantae; Streptophyta; Magnoliopsida; Fabales; Fabaceae
Source: RNAcentral
AAAGUGGAAUUCAGCCAAGGAUGAUUUGCCGGCAGUUGUAUAUAUCAUUCAUUAAGAUAUAUGUCGGCAAAUUUUUCUUGGCUAUAUUUCGCUUUCA